AGUAUUGAGGUGUUUUUGCAUGCCAUUUUUUGGCUGUGGUGGAGGAUGAUUUCCCUUUACUU
RNAcentral lists this transfer RNA (62 nucleotides) under Paradiplozoon opsariichthydis. RNAcentral describes it as "tRNA-Gln". The record is from RNAcentral. Lineage: Eukaryota; Metazoa; Platyhelminthes; Monogenea; Mazocraeidea; Diplozoidae.